Molecule: ribosomal RNA, 253 nt
Filed under: uncultured bacterium
Lineage: Bacteria
Description: partial 16S ribosomal RNA
Rfam family: Bacterial small subunit ribosomal RNA
Source: RNAcentral
GACGAACCACACAAACGUUAUUCGGAAUUACUGGGCUUAAAGGGUGCGUAGGCGGCGCGGAAAGUAGGGUGUGAAAUCCCUCGGCUCAACCGAGGAAUUGCGCCCUAAACUACCGUGCUCGAGGGAGAUAGAGGUGAGCGGAACUUAGGGUGGAGCGGUGAAAUGCGUUGAUAUCCUAAGGAACACCGGUGGCGAAAGCGGCUCACUGGAUCUCUUCUGACGCUGAGGCGCGAAAGCUAGGGGAGCAAACAGG